UUUUUUUUUUUUUUCUCUCUAAAAUAUAUUUUAUUUAAAAUGACGACAGAUUUAAAUAAGAGACCAGUAAGAACGAGAAGAAAAAAAAUUAUGAAUUCGUAUUAUUAUAAUAGUGAUUACAGUAAUGAUUUAAAUAAUGAGGAAACUAAAGAAGUAAAUGUUAUGAAAAAAAGUAACACUUUAAUUAAUAAAACAAAGGAAGAACAGAAAAAAUACUGUACUUUAUAUAACAUUAAUAAUGAUACAAACAGUAAUAAUAUUAUUAGUUCUCGUUAUAAUAAUAUAAAUAAUGUAUCUACUAUUGAUUCUGUUAUGAAUGAUUUAAAUGAUAGUAAUCGUAAUAACUCAUUAACAUUUCAAGGAAAAGGAAAUGAAAUGAUAGAAGAAAAGAUUCAUAAUAAUAGUAGUACGAUAGAUGGUAAUAUAGAAGAUGGUAAUACUAUAGAUAGUAAUAUUGUAGAUGGUAAUAUUGUAGAUGGUAAUGUUAUGAAUGGUAAUGUUAUGGAUGGUAGUGUUAUAGAUUGUGGUAAUGUUGAUAGUAGUGGUAUUGAUAAUAUUAUGAAUAAUAGUAUAACAAGCGAUAGUAUGGUUAAUGAUAAUGUGGAAAAUAUAAAUAGUACUAAUUACACAAGUGAUGAUAGUAGUACAAAAAUAAAAAAUAUGAAAUCAAGUGAUAUUACAAAUAUGAAAGGAGAUAUGAAAUUAGAAAGUAAUACAAGAAUGGAAAGGAGUAAAAGUUAUAUUAGCGGAACAAAUGUUUCUAACAGUAAAACAGGUUGUAACCGUGUAAAAAAUAUAUCAAGUGGUAAUGAUACUAAUUAUGCAAAAAUGGCUGAGCAAUUACCACAUGUUGUAGGUGUUAGAUUUGACAAAUCACAAAAUAGAUGGUUGUCUGGAAUAUGUAUUAAUGGAAGAUGUAUUAAUAGAUAUUUCCCUGUUUAUAAAUAUGGAUUUGAAGAAGCUAGAAGAUUAGCAAUCCAGCAUAGAAAAAAUUUUGAAACGGCUAAUUUAGGUCAUAUAAAAAAACAACAGGGCGAAUCAAAAACAUCUCACUUGAAUUUACUUAAUAUCAAUUCAAAAAUACCAAACGGGUUUAAAGGUAAUAUAUCAAAAUGGUGAUAUAUAUUUAUACUUUUUUAUACUUUUUUAUACUUUUAUACUUUUUUUUUUUUUUUUUUUUUUUUUUUUUUUUUUUUUUUUUUUUUUUUGCAUUAAAAUGUACAGUAACAGUGAUUGUAAAUAUUACAUUGUGAAAUAUUUUACAUAUAAGUGGUAUAUGUGUAUCUAUAUAAUGACAUGAUGAAUAAAA
RNAcentral lists this long non-coding RNA (1309 nucleotides) under Piliocolobus tephrosceles (Ugandan red Colobus). RNAcentral describes it as "lncRNA (ENSPTEG00000013457.1)". Lineage: Eukaryota; Metazoa; Chordata; Mammalia; Primates; Cercopithecidae. The record is from RNAcentral.